AACGUACGCUGGCGGCAUGCCUAACACAUGCAAGUCGAACGAGAUCUUCGGGUCUAGUGGCGCACGGGUGCGUAACGCGUGGGAAUCUGCCCUUUGGUUCGGAAUAACAGUUGGAAACGACUGCUAAUACCGGAUGAUGACGAAAGUCCAAAGAUUUAUCGCCAGAGGAUGAGCCCGCGUAGGAUUAGCUAGUUGGUGUGGUAAAGGCGCACCAAGGCGACGAUCCUUAGCUGGUCUGAGAGGAUGAUCAGCCACACUGGGACUGAGACACGGCCCAGACUCCUACGGAGGCAGCAGUGGGGAAUAUUGGACAAUGGGCGAAAGCCUGAUCCAGCAAUGCCGCGUGAGUGAUGAAGGCCUUAGGGUUGUAAAGCUCUAUUACCCGGGAUGAUAAUGACAGUACCGGGAGAAUAAGCUCCGGCUAACUCCGUGCCAGCCGCCGCCGUAA
This 448-nucleotide ribosomal RNA is filed under the name uncultured bacterium. Its description in RNAcentral is "partial 16S ribosomal RNA". It matches the Rfam family "Bacterial small subunit ribosomal RNA", at positions 29 to 523 of the family's 1533-position model. The record is from RNAcentral.